CCUACGGGAGGCAGCAGUAGGGAAUCUUCCACAAUGGGCGAAAGCCUGAUGGAGCAACGCCGCGUGGGUGAAGAAGGUCUUCGGAUCGUAAAACCCUGUUGUUAGAGAAGAAAGUGCGUGAGAGUAACUGUUCACGUUUCGACGGUAUCUAACCAGAAAGCCACGGCUAACUACGUGCCAGCAGCCGCGGUAAUACGUAGGUGGCAAGCGUUAUCCGGAGUUAUUGGGCGUAAAGGGAACUCGGGCGGUCUUUUAAGUCUGAUGUGAAAGCCUUCGGCUUAACCGGAGUAGUGCAUUGGAAACUGGGAGACUUGAGUGCAGAAGAGGAGAGUGGAACGCCAUGUGUAGCGGUGAAAGGCGUAGAUAUAUGGAAGAACACCAGUGGCGAAAGCGGCUCUCUGGUCUGUAACUGACGCUGAGGUUCGAAAGCGUGGGUAGCAAACAGGAUUAGAUACCCCUGUAGUC
RNAcentral lists this ribosomal RNA (465 nucleotides) under uncultured bacterium. Its description in RNAcentral is "partial 16S ribosomal RNA". It matches the Rfam family "Bacterial small subunit ribosomal RNA", at positions 338 to 795 of the family's 1533-position model. The record is from RNAcentral.